AAUGAACGCUGGCGGCGUGCCUAAUACAUGCAAGUCGAGCGAACAGACGAGGAGCUUGCUCGUCUGACGGUAUCGGCGGACGGGUGAGUAACACGUGGAUAGCCUACCUAUCAGACUGGGGUGACUUCAGGAAACCAUAUCUAAUGCCGAAUAAUAUAUUGCCCCGGGUUGUUCAAUAGUUAGAUUCGGUUUUUCGUACGCUUAUAGAUGAAUACGGGUCGCAUUAGCUAGUGGGUAAGGUGGCGGCUUAACAACGCUGCGAUGCGAAGCCGCCCUGAGCGGGUGAUUCGCCACACGGGAACUGAGACACGGCCCAGACUCUUACGGGAGGCAGCGGUAGGGAAUCUUACGGAAGGGGCGAGUGCCUGACGGAGCACAGCCGCGUGAGGGAUGAUGGUCUUAGGAUGCGAGAACUAUGUUAGUCGGGAAGAAGAAAUGCGCAAUUACCUAGGCACGUCAUGACGGUACCUGAAGAAAAAGCCACGGCUAACUACGUG
This 497-nucleotide ribosomal RNA is filed under the name uncultured bacterium. RNAcentral describes it as "partial 16S ribosomal RNA". It matches the Rfam family "Bacterial small subunit ribosomal RNA", at positions 29 to 507 of the family's 1533-position model. The record is from RNAcentral.